Long non-coding RNA from Lutra lutra (Eurasian river otter), 3812 nucleotides. RefSeq lists it as uncharacterized. Lineage: Eukaryota; Metazoa; Chordata; Mammalia; Carnivora; Mustelidae. The record is from RefSeq and is a predicted model, not a curated record. The transcript has 3 exons.
UGACCGCCUCUAUGAGAACUUGGCUCUUGUCUGCUCCCUUGAAAGACUGGAAACCCCUUGGGGGCAGCAACAGUCUCUUUCCUUGGGACUGUAUUCCCAGCAUCUCCCACCAUGCCCAGCUAUGGUGGAAGUCCAAUCAAUAUUUUUUAUAUUGAAUUUUGUCUUUACAAAACCCUAUAGGGUGGAUACUUUUAUUAUCCCUAUUGUAUGCCUCCACGGCGAGGUCAAAUAGCUUGCCCAAGGUCACAAAACUAAAAUGUCCAUCAUACACACAGGCGUCAGAUGAACUGUCAUAUUUACCAUGUAGGAUACACACGGCUCAGCUGCCCAGCCCCACAUUCUCCCCCCAUGCUGGAAUCACACACGGCUUCACAGAAUAGUCCUCUGUAGUACAGAGGGUGGGGGGCUGCGUGUUAGUCUGUACUGGAUUGACUACCUUUCUGACCUUCCCAUAUGAGGUGACUGGCAAGUGCACACAGUGAGACUGUAAGAUAUGGAUACAUAUUCGAGGAAAUUAUGACGGGAGAACGAAGUUACUAUAUUUAGUGCUAGAUACAGCCCAAAGAAAACAAGGAGUCAAGACUCAAAAAUUAUAUAUCAUAGAUUAAAUAAUACAUUAGUAAAAGGAAACAUGCUAUCAUUCAGGAGGGAUUUUUUUUUUCUAGAAGGAAUAUAUCCAGUGAGUCCUUACUAAAUAGUCAUUGAUCAACACACAUAACCAUUUCUUAUAAAAGUUCAUGGUAAAGGGAACAGAAGAAAGUGUGUUUCCUUUCAGAUAUAUCUGCAGUUGAAGAGCUGCAGAUACCUGUCUGAGGUAUGAACUUGAUGGAAAGGUAAAGCUUAGCGGCGCAGGUAGCCAGCAGGACCGUGAGACCAGCGGUUUCCACGCGCUUAUAACAAUGACCCACGAAGGAUGGGAGGCACCACACAUUUCACACAAUGGCCCAGUAUUUACAAUUGAAACAAGUUUCUCAAUAUUUACCCUUCCUAUGUAUGAUGCACUCUUGUAUCUUCUCUUAUAGGCUGUCAAAUUUUUUAAUCCUGGUCAAAAUCACCAAGUUGAUUCCAGGACUUAUUAAUAGGACAGCCCACAGUUGGAAACCCACUUGCUUAACCAGUGCUUCUCAAACUUGACUUUGCAUAAGAAUCGUCUGGGGACUUGAUGAAAAUGAGGAUUUUCAUUCAGCGUCUGUGGGCAGUACGGAGUCUGAAUUUGCGUUCACUCCUGCUGAGCCGGGAACUGCACCGCGGCUAACAAAAACUCUCAUUUGUCACGCAGUUAGUAUCUGCUCUGGACUUUGGAUGGGAGCAGGAGAGAAUCAGAUUCACUGAGAACUCCAACAGGAAUCAGGAAUACAAAUAUGGCUUUCAUAGUUCAAUUAUCCAAUCCUUUGUGCCAGGUAAUUUUUAAAUACACAUGUAUGUGGUUUCCCUGGAAACUGGCACAGCCCAAGAUAGCAUCAAGUAAAACCUGUCUCUGCAUUAACAUUGUAUCAGGAAUCAAGUCAAUGGCCAGGUGAGGAGGAAAGAAAACAUCUGGAGGGAGGAAAGGGACGCCCCUGGUGGAGAAUAUGGGAGGGUCGCAGACAAAAGCUUUGCCCAUUUUACUUCCUCCCUCCCUCCAUGGGCCCUGGCCACAGCACAGGUUGCUAAUCUUUGGGAGGCUGGUUCCCAGGCAUGGGAGGAAAAUAAUGAAGUCAGUUUAGCUCGUUGUCACUCCGCUUAAGUAUCAUUUGGCUCCUGUUCCCUGCGGGGCAGUCUUCACCAGCAUCCCCAGGUAAUUCAGACACUCCGAUUCUCGUCCAUUUCCAGCAAGGGACAACGUUUUCCAUUCUCACUUCUCCUCCGGUCUGUUUUCCUGUGGCUUUAUAUCAGCAUCUGUCUUGAGCAUCCCUGCCAACCACACUGGGAGUGGGAGCUGGGUGGGGAAAUCAUUAAACCAGAAGGGAAGUCCUAUCUAUGGAGUCAUACUUGGCUUUAUAAAUAGUUUUUAUGAUAUAGGAGGACGGGGACUGUUUCCAAAGUCAAGUUUUGUUGUUUGGAUGUUUUGUUUUGUUUUGUUUUUAACUAGAAUGCAUGGGUGUUCUUGGCUCUCUGUGCUUUGCCUUCUCCCCGACAGUAACACAGCAGUGAGAUGGAUCUGCCCUGAGUCAGCUCAGAGAAGGCUGUCGACCUUUCCACCCCCAGCAUUCCGGAGAUAACGCAUGGCAUCUUGCAAGGUUGCCGUCGUGCCUUGUAACCGAAAGACCAUGUAAUGUGGAACACGUCUCCGGGGUUCCAGCAAGGUCAUUGAUUUACAGCUCCGUAAAAGUCUCAGCCAAACCCCGCAGAACAUGUACAGGAUUUGAGAGAGCCAGAUGUGGGUAAAUUGCCUGUUGCAAAAAAUCUGGAAGAGAGAAAGGUGCCACAAAUUGAAUUAGGCUCAGAUUAUUCAGAAAGGAAAUAACAGGUGGAGAACAUUUCAAAAAGAGGUCCCUUCAAAACGGCCUUCCUAGGACAGCAGCCAAGUACAUUUUUUCUUCCAGGGCUGAGUCUGUGGCGCAGUCGGCUGCUGAGAUCCAGUGCCACUCGCCCGAUGGGUACACACUUGAUGUAUAAAUAUUCAUGCGAGGUGGGAGGAAAGCCUUUGAAUUGACACGAUUUGGUUUGGUUGUUCCAAGCAAACAAAUGUAGCCCCAGGGGACUGGCUUUCGGAGCUACAUCCUACCACCAAAGAUAAAAUCUGUGCGUGGGGUAGGGAAGCAUUUUCUCUUAGUGAGUUUUCUUGGGUAACCAACCCACUUGGUGGCACCUGGUUCUUCCUCGGCUCAGUUCCCUGACUGUGGGACUUGAAGUUCCAUUCAGUGGUCUGUCCAUGGCCAGAUGAGCCCGGAAGGCUGCACCCAGCUGACAGAGAGAUCCAGAGGCAACUCCCAGGCAAUUCAGGCUCUUUCGUGCCUUUUACUUGAUUCCCAAAGGCCCCCCAUGAGACCAAGGAAUCUGGUUACUGUUCUCAAGGGAGAUUUGCCCCAGGCUCACUCAAGGCUAAGGGGUAGUGGGGGUGGGGAGGAUCCUGGGUACAUGGAAGGGACCUUGGAGGAGUGAAGGGCCCCCCUCUGAGAGAAUGGGGAUACACCACUGACUACCCAAAAUACCAAACCACCCACCCCCAUGGGUCUGCAUCAAGGCUGAAAUGCUCACCACUGCUUUCCCUUCCUAAGGAUUCACCCAGGCUACCACUUUCGGUUGUGAGAGCCAGAGUCUUCCCUAACCAGCGGGCCAGUGACUAUCGUCUCCUCUCACCAUCGUCGUGAAGGUGAGGGUUUCUGAGUCCCUGCCGUUACCAGCUAGGUGACACGCAUGUCAUACUGGGGAGAACAUGAAAGACCCAGCUUCACUUGACACAAUCUGGGUCAUAGGACUUAUGCCAAGGGGCUUCCCUGCCCCACCCCCACUCCUUCCUGGCUUCAAAGACAGGGUGGUCACUUUCUCCCUAAUAGAUUCUGGAGACUUUAAAGGAAAACAACCACCUCCACACAAGCCGUGAGAACAAGGCCUCUUAGAAACUUUCUGCUGCCUCUUCCGCACCAAGUAUGUGUUUACGGGUGGCUUUCACAAGCUGCAAGGCCUGCCCAGGAAAUGGAAUUUUCCUAUUGAGCCAAAAUUGUGUUUUGGCCCAAAGCUGAAGAGAGAAUGCAUCAGGAACCCCCACAUUCUAAAGUGAGCAUUUUUUUUUAAGAUUUUAUUUAUUUAUUUUAGAGAGAGGGAGAGGGAGAGCGAGGGAAGGAGCAGAGGGAGAGAGACAAGCAGACUGUGCUGAGCUUGGAGCCUUA